Molecule: non-coding RNA, 2265 nt
Organism: Nylanderia fulva
Lineage: Eukaryota; Metazoa; Arthropoda; Insecta; Hymenoptera; Formicidae
Source: RefSeq, a predicted model, not a curated record
GCGUUUGUAUCUCGCUGACCCGGUUGGCCACAUAGGUGGCCCACGUCGAUGGAUGUCCUCGGAUCCAGCCGAGUGUGACUGUGGAAUCCGACCACAUGUGAAGAGGUGCCCUUUCAGCUCCGAUGAUCGGCAAGGUGUGGGCGACGAGACGAGCCAGAAGAGUCACUGCAGAUAGCUCCAGUCGAGGUAGAUCACCGCGGAGUAGGCACGCUCGGAGGCAUCGGCGAAUCCGUGGACUUCCAGCAUUGAUUCAGUCAAACCUCCCAGCCAUCGAGGUACGAUCACUUUUUCCAGAGCUGGCAACUCGCUCUGGAAUCGCAACCAUCUUCUAGCUUCGUCGCUAGGUAGCGGAGCGUCCCAAUCCAGACCUAGCAACCAGGUAGACUGGAUGAAGAUUUUUGCUAAUAUCGUUGUUGGUGCCAGCCAGCCAAAGGGUCGAACAUCUUAGCUGUCAACGAAAGUACCGACCGUUUGCUGAAGGUUGAUAGUGUGAUAGCUUUGGUAGCGAAUGCGAAGAGAUCGUCACGUGGUUGCCAUCUUAGACCGAGAGUAGAGUGACUCUCGCCGGGCAGCCACCAUCUAGCCUCUUGUCGCAGACGGUCGUCGGGCUUCACUUGGUUCAGCAACAGCGAAUGGUUUGCCGACCAUUUCUUAAGCGAGAAGCCGCCCGCCCUGCAGAUCUCCAUCAGCUGUUGGAUCAUGACCUCGGCUUCCUCCAUGGUCUCCGCGCCUGACAGGAUGUCGUCCAUGUAGACGUCGCUCAGCAGGAUGAGAGCUCCCUUCGGGUAGCGAUGUCCCUCAUCCUCGGCAAGUUGGCGCAAAGUACGGAUCGCCAGAUAAGGAGCACAGGAAAGCCCACUUUGGUCGUCGGGGUGCACAAGGAUCUGCCUGUACAUCUUCUCGAUGUCAGUAGCGAAGACGUAGCGAUGGCGUCGCCAACUCAGUAGGAUGUCGGCCAGAGAAGGUAGUAGAUUCGGUCCCGUUGCUAGAUAUCUGUUGAGGGAGUCUCCGUUUGGCAAGGAGCUCGAGCCGUUGAAGACUACCCUCAGUUUUGUGGAGGUGCUGUCAAGACGCAGGACCCCGUGAUGCGGUAGAUAGCAAGCUCCCGGACGCGUGGUAGUCGAAGGCGGAGCAGGCAUCAUGUGGCGCAGGUCUAAAGCCCGGCGGGCGGCGCGGAUUGUUCCAGAGAGAUCCGGCAGAGAUUCCGUCGUGGGCAGGCGCACGACGUACCGGCCGUCGGCGUUGCGUGUGUGGUACUGACGAUAGUGCUCUUCGCACUCCCGCUCGACCUUGGUGAAGAGCUGAGACGGCUGUCGAACCUCUUCCUGCUCCCAAAAGCGACGUACCAAACAGACCCUGGCGGAUGAUUAAUCCGUGGACGUGGCGCCCAGCAGAAGGUCUACUGGAUCAGCGGAAUGGAAUUCUGGAUCGGCGAGCUCCAGGUCCCUGAGAUGUGUCCAGGAUUGCAGGCUUCGGCGGCAUCCUCCGGAGAAUAGAGUCAGCUUCGGCAAAAUCAAGGCGGAGACGGAGUUGGACGUCUCACCGUUGAGCGCUCGAAAGCUGCUGCAAAACAUUAUGAAGUGGUCCCCCUGGCAACCGGCGCACCGACUUCUGGACCUGUCUUUCGGCUCAGUUUUCUUUACGUGAUGGCUUCGUGUUGCUUUGGUAUUGCUGCUGCUGUUGCUGUCGUUCUUCACAGGAAACAGAGCCUCUAAGGUCUGGCUGCCUGGUUCCUGCCGAUGAUGGAUUGAAAGAGGUCUCGGAAGGACGGCCAGUCUUCGUACUUCCCGGCGAAGGUCGGUGGCUGGAUUUUUGGCAGCGCUGUCCGAGGAGCGGAGGUCGUUGGCGCGGCCGAGGUAGAGCUGGCUGCCUGCAGCCGCCGCUGGAGAGCGCUCUUUAGGUCGAGCAUGAGGCCCUUAUUCUGCAGCUUCUCGAGGUUUUGAAGCCGGGCCUCUACUGCGCCGAGGGUGAUGUUGGCCUCGCCGAGCUUCCGCAAGUUGUCGUACGCGCGCGAGAUCUUGCCGUAUAGUACCGUGGCGGUGGCAAUGAUCGCCUUUGUUUCUGCCAUCUCUCACACUGUCUCUCUUUUCCAGAAGCACUGGUCACCGACACUUAAUCACGAUCGCUUCCGUGGCACCGGAUUGACAGGAGGUUCCGGAUAAAGAUCCGGCUCGAAGGACCAAAAAAUGUGCACAACGGAUAGCGGGAAAGGACGGUCGGAAGCGAGACGAUAGAUAGGCACUACACUCGACACACGCGUAUCGU